RNAcentral lists this ribosomal RNA (581 nucleotides) under Russula sp. RNAcentral's name for it is "partial small subunit ribosomal RNA". It matches the Rfam family "Bacterial small subunit ribosomal RNA", at positions 350 to 964 of the family's 1533-position model. The record is from RNAcentral. Lineage: Eukaryota; Fungi; Basidiomycota; Agaricomycetes; Russulales; Russulaceae.
AGCAGUCAAGAAUAUUAGUCAAUGCUCGAAAGAGUGAACCUACCCUAACUUGAAAUCAAUUUAAAAUUGAUAACAUAAGGGAAAAUAAUGAUAUUACCUUAUUAUUAGUGUCGUCCAAAACUGGUGCCAGAAGACUCGGUAAGGCCAGAGACACAAACGUUAAUCGUCUUAAUCAGGCGUAAAGGGUUUGUAGGCGGCUUUUAAUUUUCUUAUAAAAUUUUUUAAAAUUAAAUAAGUUAAGAAUAAAAGCUAGAAUCAAAUAGAGGAUAUAUCAAAUAAUGCUUAGAGUAGGUCUGAUAUCCAUAGAUACUAAGUAGAAUAUUAAAGGCGAAAGCUUUUUUCCAUAAAUGAUUGACGCUCAGAAACGAAGGUGAGGAUAGGAAAUAGGAUUAGAUACCCAAAAUACCCCUCUCUGUCAACGAUGAAUGGUAAUUAUUAAUAAUAAAUUUAUUAUUAAUGAUAAUGUUAACACGAUAACCAUUCCGCCUUGUGAGUACAACUGCAAAGUUGAAAACAAAAAAAUUAGUCCGGUUUCGGAGCCAAACGAAGUGAAGCAUGUUAUUUAAUUCUAUAAUCCGCAA